AUGAACGCUAGCGGUGCGCCUAACACAUGCAAGUCGAAUGUGCCCGCAAGGGUAACAUGGCGAACGGGUGAGUAACACGUUGGUAACCUGCCUCGAAGUGAGGGAUAACCCCGCGAAAGCGGGGCUAAUACCGCAUUGUAAUGGGGGGACGAAAGUCAUUCCCAUUUAAAGUCGCAAGACGCUUCGAGAGGGGCCUGCGGAGUAUCAGCUAGUUGGUAGGGUAACGGCCUACCAAGGCUAUGACGCUUAGUUGGUCUGAGAGGACGACCAACCACAAUGGAACUGAGACACGGUCCAUACUCCUACGGGAGGCAGCAGUGAGGAAUCUUCCGCAAUGGGCGAAAGCCUGACGGAGCGACACCGCGUGGAGGAUGAAGGCGUUUUCGUUGUAAACUCCUUUUCUGAGGGAAUAACUGAUGAAUUUACCUCAGGAAUAAGCACCGGCUAACUACGU
RNAcentral lists this ribosomal RNA (454 nucleotides) under uncultured bacterium. RNAcentral describes it as "bacterial SSU rRNA". It matches the Rfam family "Bacterial small subunit ribosomal RNA", at positions 29 to 506 of the family's 1533-position model. The record is from RNAcentral.